AGUCCUAGAAGGGAACACUGGAAUGACUGACACUUCAAAAAAUACAUUGUUGGCUUGUCUGUGAAGGAUACUCAUAUAGUCAUCCAGUUGCCCUUCUGCUCCACCUCAAAGACAUAUAUCAACCAUGAGGGUUAUUUUAGAAAGCUUCUAAAGUGAAAGUCCUAAAAUGGAGUCCUAGACGGAAACAAUGGAAUGGCUGACAUUAGUUGCAAAUACAUCAUCGAAAUGUCUAUAAGGAUAUUAAAAAACUAUAAGGAUAUUCAUAUAGUCAUUCCAGUUGCCCUUCUGCUCCAUCUAAAGGAAAUACAUCAACCAUAUGGGUUAUGCUAGUAAGCUGCUGGUACAGCCUUCAAUAUGAUGAUUUUAAGAACUGUCCGAGCACAGUGAACAACUAGUUGGUGGGAGGGCACAUUUUUUAUCCUGCUUCAGAAUUUUUAAGCAUUGAGCUUGAUGUUUUAAAUAAUUCUCUUAUGGAUCAUUUUCAUCUCUGAAAUAGCAUAAAAAGUAUUAUUUUGACUGAUCUUGUUUUGAAGUAGCUUUUUAAAAGAAGUGGCCAGACUUUUGAGUAAUUUUUGUCCUCAUCAAGUGGUUUAGAUUCAGUGUCUAAUGGUUCAUUUUCUGAAAGGAUGGAAUAGAUUUGGAUUUCAUACCUUCUGUGUCUUACUUGAUGAGUGUUUUUUACUAGUAGCAAUGUGUGUGGCUGGCUAAUCUCCAGUAUUUGUGGGAAACUAACUACUGAACAAAGAACUGAUUCCUUUGGUUUAUAAUCGUUACAUCAUUCCAUCGUAGGCAAGCUUUUGAUUUGCUCAUAUAUUUAUUCAUGUUGUUUAUGUUGGCAAGCUGCUGAUCCAAAUGACCUUUCGUGCCUUUUAUAUGAUGAUUUUAUGGACAAACUAUUUGCUCGCCCUAUGUCCUACUACACAGAGAUAUCUUUCUUAUAUGAAUGGCCUAAGUCUUGGAGGGGGACUGAAUGAUUGAAACGAGUCGUUACUAGAACAAGAUGCAUGUUGAUAUGAAUAUUGUCGCGUAACGGUUGGGAUGCCGA
This 1045-nucleotide long non-coding RNA is filed under the name Linum usitatissimum (flax). RNAcentral's name for it is "long non-coding RNA (LUSI_LNC007932)". The record is from RNAcentral. Lineage: Eukaryota; Viridiplantae; Streptophyta; Magnoliopsida; Malpighiales; Linaceae.